RNAcentral lists this transfer RNA (72 nucleotides) under Podarcis lilfordi (Lilford's wall lizard). Its description in RNAcentral is "tRNA.Ile". The stretch from base 7 to 67 matches the Rfam family "tRNA", at positions 7 to 64 of the family's 71-position model. Rfam says of the family: Transfer RNA (tRNA) molecules are approximately 80 nucleotides in length. Lineage: Eukaryota; Metazoa; Chordata; Lepidosauria; Squamata; Lacertidae. The record is from RNAcentral.
UCCUGGAUAGCUCAGUUGGUUAGAGCAUGGUGCUGAUAACGCCAAGGUUGCAGGUUCGAUCCCUGGUGGGAU